CUGUCAAUCCUUCUACUGUAGGUAGGUAUACCGUAUAUUAUCUACAAAUACAGAAUGUUAUAGAAACUCGAUUGGCCGUUCGGAUUUCAGCUUCUCGGGAUUUUCAAGCCUAUAAUAAAGUCUUAAUAUUUCCCGCGAACGUCGUAUACCUGGAUGACCGACGACGUGACGUUCAAAACAUUACGGUAUACGUACGUUUUAUAUUUUAUUGCUUUUCAUCUGGAAAUUGGUAUACGGUCGAACGCAAUAUUAUUGUAACGCAUUAUAUAAACUUGAAAAACCUAUCGGCCAACCGGUCAUAUUAUUAUUAUCUCUGUUCUCACACUGCGUACGUGACCUAAAAAUUGUUUAUUAAUGUAUUCAAGUUAUAGAAAACUGAACCGUCAUAAUAACUUCUCAAACGCGUCUUGUUUGCUAUAAUAGCACACCGCGAUAUAGGUAUGUAUAUAAUAUCAACUAAAUGUUUAACAAUGUUUUUCUCGGUGAAAAUAAAUUGAAAUGUAUUAGAUUCAAUGUAAGUUAAAUAUAGUUGUU
Molecule: non-coding RNA, 534 nt
Organism: Cinara cedri
Lineage: Eukaryota; Metazoa; Arthropoda; Insecta; Hemiptera; Aphididae
Source: the annotation of a GenBank genome assembly